RNAcentral lists this ribosomal RNA (494 nucleotides) under uncultured bacterium. RNAcentral describes it as "bacterial SSU rRNA". It matches the Rfam family "Bacterial small subunit ribosomal RNA", at positions 36 to 518 of the family's 1533-position model. The record is from RNAcentral.
CUGGCGGCGUGCCUAACACAUGCAAGUCGAGCGGGGACAUACGACGGAACCAAAGUUUCGGAUGGAGGUGAAGAUGUAUGUUCUAGCGGCGGACGGGUGAGUAACGCGUGAGCAACCUGUCCCUUACAGGGGGAUAACACAGCGAAAGUUGUACUAAUACCGCAUGAGACCACGAUGGGACAUCCCAUAGGGGUCAAAGGAGCAAUCCGGUAAGGGGUGGGCUCGCGUCCGAUUAGAUAGUUGGUGAGGUAACGGCCCACCAAGUCGACGAUCGGUAGCCGACCUGAGAGGGUGAUCGGCCACAUUGGGACUGAGACACGGCCCAAACUCCUACGGGAGGCAGCAGUGGGGAAUAUUGGGCAAUGGGGGGAACCCUGACCCAGCGACGCCGCGUGAGGGAAGAAGGUUUUCGGAUCGUAAACCUCUGUCCUUGGUGAAGAGGAAGAGACGGUAGCCAAGGAGGAAGCCCCGGCUAACUACGUGCCAGCCGCCGC